GUUGCAUGGAAAAACUGUUGGCCAUUGUUGACCUAGCCUACAUACCCCACCAGGUCCAACCCACAUUACACCCAUCUAGGUAUGGAUAGCCAUUCUCAACUCACUAGCAGGUUGGGUCAGGCUCCACUUGAGACCUCUCAACUAAUCGAGUCAGGUAAGAUAAAUGGCAUCAUUAUAUAUAGAUGUAUAUAUAAUUACAUGAAUACAAUAUGCAUUCACAUGCGCGUGCAUGUUUGUGUAUAUAGUUAGAAAGAGAGAGAUAUUGGCCAUUGUUGACCUAGACGACAGUCGGUCAAUUAGGGUCUUUCAGUGAAUGCCGAGGC
RNAcentral lists this long non-coding RNA (323 nucleotides) under Elaeis guineensis (African oil palm). RNAcentral's name for it is "long non-coding RNA (EGUI_LNC077713)". The record is from RNAcentral. Lineage: Eukaryota; Viridiplantae; Streptophyta; Magnoliopsida; Arecales; Arecaceae.